Cygnus atratus (black swan) is the source of this 832-nucleotide long non-coding RNA. RefSeq lists it as uncharacterized. The transcript has 2 exons. Lineage: Eukaryota; Metazoa; Chordata; Aves; Anseriformes; Anatidae. The record is from RefSeq and is a predicted model, not a curated record.
GAGGUUUUGAGAUUUUGCCAUCGCAAAUUUAGGGGCAGUGAGUGAGAAAGGGCGAGCUGUGUGAGAGUUGGUGCGUGCUGCGUCCCCCGUGUCCCAUGGGAAACCACUGGGGAAACAGGAGAGGGAGAGGGAGGACGUGCAGGAGAAGGAGGUGUGCUGGGAGUGGGAGCCCUUUCUGCAGCAUUUGUGCAGGUGAAGAAGAGCCAGAAAGGGCAGCCAAGGCAGCGCCCGUAUUGCGUGAAAGAACCAAAGUGAAAGUGAAACCAAGCCGGGGCUGAUCUGUGGGCUCGGGUUCCCCCUGCUCCAUGGCCACUCCGCUGCCAUAUGGCAGCACUUGUGCCAGGCCCAGUGGGGAGAGCCCCCAGCAGCCCUGCAGGAUCCUACCUGAGCCCAGCCGGAGGAGGAGCAGAGUGACGAGGGAAGUCAGGAGACCCCUGGCAUGGCCGGGAGAGGGCAAUCCCAAAGAUAAGGGAGUAAAAGACUGCAUGCAUAGAUAAUGGAACCAGCAAGAACUGUCUUGGAGUGCUGAAGUCUGUAAAUAAAAGGAAGGGUCAGAAGUUUAGCAGCGAGGAAGACUUCUGUCCUUCAUCAAAAGACCACCAGAGUACGCUGUACGACCACCCAAGGACUCUAGCGUGCAUGCGAAUAGGGGUGGGAACCUAUGUUAAUGAUUCUCCAGAGACCUGAUGAAUAUGUAAGAGACUUUUGGGAAAUGAAAUGAAUAUGUAUAUAUCCCAUCAAUAUAAACACCCUGGCAGUAACCAUUGGUGUGCAAGCUACGAGGAGCGAGCCCCUUGCACCCAGUGCUGCAAUAAACAUACCUGCUUUAUAA